Molecule: ribosomal RNA, 516 nt
Filed under: Streptomyces sp. SL010E
Lineage: Bacteria; Bacillati; Actinomycetota; Actinomycetes; Kitasatosporales; Streptomycetaceae
Description: bacterial SSU rRNA
Rfam family: Bacterial small subunit ribosomal RNA
Source: RNAcentral
CUAAUACCGGAUACGACGCGCUCCUGCAUGGGAUGCGCGUGGAAAGCUCCGGCGGUGAAGGAUGAGCCCGCGGCCUAUCAGCUAGUUGGUGAGGUAAUGGCUCACCAAGGCGACGACGGGUAGCCGGCCUGAGAGGGCGACCGGCCACACUGGGACUGAGACACGGCCCAGACUCCUACGGGAGGCAGCAGUGGGGAAUAUUGCACAAUGGGCGAAAGCCUGAUGCAGCGACGCCGCGUGAGGGAUGACGGCCUUCGGGUUGUAAACCUCUUUCAGCAGGGAAGAAGCGAAAGUGACGGUACCUGCAGAAGAAGCGCCGGCUAACUACGUGCCAGCAGCCGCGGUAAUACGUAGGGCGCAAGCGUUGUCCGGAAUUAUUGGGCGUAAAGAGCUCGUAGGCGGCUUGUCACGUCGGGUGUGAAAGACCGGGGCUUAACUCCGGUUCUGCAUUCGAUACGGGCUAGCUAGAGUGUGGUAGGGGAGAUCGGAAUUCCUGGUGUAGCGGUGAAAUGCGCA